This 242-nucleotide ribosomal RNA is filed under the name uncultured bacterium. RNAcentral describes it as "partial 16S ribosomal RNA". It matches the Rfam family "Bacterial small subunit ribosomal RNA", at positions 92 to 334 of the family's 1533-position model. The record is from RNAcentral.
CGACCGGCGCACGGGUGAGUAACGCGUAUGCAACCUGCCUACUACAGUGAGAUAACCCGGCGAAAGUCGGACUAAUAUCGCAUAAUACAAUUUUGCCGCAUGGUUUUAUUGUUAAAGAUUUAUCGGUAGUAGAUGGGCAUGCGUUCCAUUAGGUAGUUGGUAAGGUAAGAGCUUACCAAGCCGUCGAUGGAUAGGGGAACUGAGAGGUUUAUCCCCCACACUGGAACUGAGACACGGACCAG